UUGAAUGACUGAUAUACCAUGUAUUUUACCCACUUUUAGCCAUGGUAUAUAGGUAUUUUCAAAUACAUUAUAGUUGUUUUGGAGUCUUUCUAGUAUGAUUUCAGGUUUUGGAGUGAUUUGGAGGAAAAUAGUGAUUUUGAUGCAUUUUGGAGAUAAAAUGAUAAAGACCCGAAGUUGACCAUCGACCACGACUAUCGAUCGAUGGGCGAACGCAACAAUCGAUCGACACACACUAUGUGGUAUCGAUCGAAGGCGAAGCGUGCAGAAACAGGAUUGAGUUCCAGCAGCCUACUUAAAGCCCAAGUCCCACAAAAAUUACCAGAUUACCCCUGGCGAGUUUUAACCUAAUAUUUAUGUGCUCUGCCAUUGUUCUAGGCAACACACGCUUUCAUACUUUCUACUUUUCAUACAGCAAAAUACUUAGAGUCUUAGAUUUGGAGAGAAGAUCCAAGAACUCCUUCAGAACUUUGUGAUUGGAACUCCAGUUCCUCUACUCUAUCUUAUUUAUGCAGUUUACUUAUGUUAUUGUCAUGAAUUGCUUAGCCAUGUCUAAGUAGUUUAUCUUGUUAGAUUUAGGGUUCAAAUAUUCAUGAGGAAUUAGCCCAAA
This 607-nucleotide long non-coding RNA is filed under the name Brassica napus (rape). RNAcentral describes it as "long non-coding RNA (BNAP_LNC011468)". Lineage: Eukaryota; Viridiplantae; Streptophyta; Magnoliopsida; Brassicales; Brassicaceae. The record is from RNAcentral.